AGGCGGCGUCGCCCAGGUUCAGCAGGUCCGUGAACUCCAGGUUGGCGAGCAGCGGUUCGUCGUCGUCGCCGCCCG
This 75-nucleotide transfer RNA is filed under the name Streptomyces reticuli. Its description in RNAcentral is "tRNA-Trp". Lineage: Bacteria; Bacillati; Actinomycetota; Actinomycetes; Kitasatosporales; Streptomycetaceae. The record is from RNAcentral. RNAcentral also lists the same sequence under 1 other name.